RNAcentral lists this transfer RNA (69 nucleotides) under Brachygobius nunus (bumblebee goby). RNAcentral's name for it is "tRNA-Val". Lineage: Eukaryota; Metazoa; Chordata; Actinopteri; Gobiiformes; Gobiidae. The record is from RNAcentral.
CAAUGUGUAGCUAACAGAUAGCAUCUCCCUUACACUGAGAAGUCCCUUGUGUAACUCAGGGCAUAUUGA